AACGAACGUUGGCGGCGUGCUUAACACAUGCAAGUCGUACGAGAAAGCUCCUUCGGGGGUGAGUAAAGUGGCGCACGGGUUAGUAACACGUGGAUAAUCUGCCCUAAGGCGAGGGAAAACUGACCGAAAGGUCCGCUAAUACCUCAUGAGACCACAGUAUCUUCGGAUACAGGGGUAAAAGAUGGCCUCUAUUUAUAAGCUAUCACCAUAGGAUGAGUCCGCGCACCAUUAGCUUGUUGGUGGGGUAAAGGCCUACCAAGGCUAAGAUGGUUAGCUGGUCUGAGAGGACGACCAGCAACACUGGAACUGAGACACGGUCCAG
Molecule: ribosomal RNA, 322 nt
Filed under: uncultured bacterium
Lineage: Bacteria
Description: bacterial SSU rRNA
Rfam family: Bacterial small subunit ribosomal RNA
Source: RNAcentral